RNAcentral lists this ribosomal RNA (4934 nucleotides) under Colletotrichum lupini. RNAcentral's name for it is "LSU rRNA". The stretch from base 1 to 2634 matches the Rfam family "Bacterial large subunit ribosomal RNA". The record is from RNAcentral. Lineage: Eukaryota; Fungi; Ascomycota; Sordariomycetes; Glomerellales; Glomerellaceae.
UAAGAGAAGUUUUUUAAUAAACGAAGUGAAUUGAAAUAUCUUAGUAACUUCAGGAAAAGAAAUCAAAAGAGAUUCUAUAAGUAGCGUGAGUGAAAGUAGAGGAGCCUAUUUAAUAAUAAGUAAAAUGGUUUAGAAACUGUUUGAAUUUAUUGUCUGAUCCCUGUAAGGGAAAGGGCCCGGGGAACCUUCCUCAAAGGCUAAAUAUAAUACAUAAGCGAUAGUGAAUAGUAUCGUGAGAUAAUGAUUAGAAUUAGUAGUUUUAUAAGCAGUUCGAGCCAAAGUGAGAACGUACCUUUUGCAUAAUGGGUCACCAAGUUAACAUUAGAUGCGAGUGAAAGCGUAGGUAAACCAAUCGUUAAAAUAACGAAGAGUGUCUAAAGUUAGACCCGAAGCCUGGUGAUUUUACCAUAAUCAGGAUUAUAAAAGUCCGAACGGGUUAUCGUUGUAAAGAUAUCCGAAGAAUUAUGGUAGGUAGUGAAAGACAACACUGACUAGGAUAGCUGGUUUUCUGCGAAACCUAUAACAGUAGGCAAUUUGAGUAACAUCUUAGCAGGUACAGAAUUUAAUCUCAGACAAGAUGUUCUAAUUUUAGUUCGGCCACGAACUAAAACAACAUGUUGAUUUGUAUAUAUCGGGGGAUCGUGAAGAUUUUAUCGGUGAGUAUGUAGACUCGGAAUGGCAAAGAUGGAUCUUGAAUUAUCAGACAUAGAAUGAUAAGGUUGUAUGUCAAAAGGGAAACAGCCCAGAACAAGAGUUAAGGUUCCAAAAUUAUUAGUUAAGUGAAAUUAAGAAGGUUAUUAUUAAAGUCGACAAGGAGAUGGGCUUAGAAGCAGCCAAAUUUUGAAGACCUCGUAACAGAGCGCUUGUUAAGUUUUAAAAGCAUCGAAAAUUUAACGGAUCUAAACAAUAUACCGACACCUUGUCCAUAUUUUACUAUAUAUAUAUAUUAUUGUAAUUUAGUGGGGUAGCAGAACGUUGAAUUAAAUUAGGAUAUUUCUUCUGUGAAGAAAUAUAUAACAAACAAUUCAAGUGAGAAUGGUGACAUGAGUAACGAAUAAGAAGGACAUUUUACCGAAAAAGCCUAGUAAAAUCUCUACGUAUCAUAACUAUGGUAAAUAGGGAUUCCCUCCCUCUGGGAGGGGUCGCCUCUUUCUUUAAAGAGUAGUAAUCUUCUUUAUGAUGAUUACUUCGAGUUACUAGGUAUUUUAGUAAGUACUAAAUCCUCCGCCUAAAGCUUAUGGAUGGAAAAAUAUGCCCCUUAAAGUAACGGCCUCUAAGUUAUAAAUCUAAAGGUUUAAACGAUGAGAAAAUCUUUUUUACUAAAUGACAACACUUACAAGUGAUAAGUGUGCUGGAAAAAAUAGUAAUAUAUUUUGUUAAGUAUAUACAAUAAACUAAAGAGAUGAGUAUAGAAAGAGAAGAUGAAAAAAUAACCGUACCUAGAAACUAAAACAAGUAAGCUAGUAGAGAAUACGAAGGCGUAAAUGAGCUAACAAUCAUAAAGGAACUCGGCAAACUAACUACCGUAACUUCGGGAUAAGGAGAGCUCAUUAGUCCUGAUUAAUAUCGGGUAAAAAGGAAGAAGCAUAAAAUAGUGUUGUACGACUGUUUAAUUAAAACACAGCACUUUGCUAAAAGAUUAAAAAUCGAAGUAUUGAGUGUGAUGUCUGCCCGAUGCCGGCUGGUUAACGAAUAUAACUAAAUUGAUCAAUAAAUUUGGUGUUGAAGGAACCCCCGGUUAAUGGCGGCCUUAACGUGAGGGUCCUAAGGUAGCGAAAUGCCUUGGCCGUUAAAUGCGGUCUUGCAUGAAUGAUGUAACGAUACAACAGCUGUCUCUAUGAUUGACUCAGUGAAAUUGGAAUAACUGUGCAGAUACAGUUUACCUCUAGUUAGACGAGAAGACCCUAUGCAGCUUUACUGUUACUAAUUAUAGGGUAUGAUGAAUUAAUUUUCAGAUUAUAAGGUACAUUGAUUCAAUAAAAAUGAAAAUCCUUUAUUUUCACGUCAUACUUCAGAAUUAAUUUUGGAAAUUCACCUGGCUGGAAUGGCGACUUCGUCAUUUAGGCGGGAGUGAAAGAAAAGAUUAACCUAGUCUGACAUAUAAGUAGCCUUAGGUAAGGAAUAUAUUGUUAGGAGACAGUUUAUGUGGGGCACAGACCCCUUAAAGAGUAAAAGGGAGUGUCUAAAAUUUAUUUGUUAUAAAAUUUAUAACGUUGUUUGUGGUUUUAUGUAGUUUUACUAUAUUUAAUCUUAUGAAAUUCACUUUAUCUACCCUUGUUGUAGAUACGGAUGGAUCUAAGGUACGAUUUUCACUAUGGUGAAAGUAGCGGUAUAGAAAAAAAUAUUAUGAAUAGCGACGUCGUCGCUAUUCUAAUGUUUUUGGAGUUAUUAGGUGACUGGUCGGGAACCCCCCCCCGCUCUUAAUAAUAAUGAUAAAUACUUGAAAAGCUCAACGGCUAAUUCGUGCCAUACUGUUUGAUUAACAACAAAUCUUACAGUUGCGUAAGCAGGGCAUAGGAUCACAAGAUGCAAAAAGGAAAGAUCUUGGAUUAUUGGAAAAGCUACGCUAGGGAUGUUUGUCCUUCAAUAUUUUUAAACCCUCGACCUAGCCCCAGGGCCGUAAGGCCGGAGGCGAAAGAGAGAAAAGUUAAAAUUAUUGAGAAUAUAUUGGGUUAAUUUCAAGAAUUACUUAUAUAAGUAGAUUUGAAGCGAAAUUUAUCUUGGCAUAAUUAUAUAAGAUAAAAUCGUUCAACGACUAUAAGGUGAGUUAUGCUAACAAUAAUCCUUUUUAACACCCAACAUUUUUAUUACCAUACACUUAUAAAAAAAAGAUAAAAAGAAAGAAAAUUUCAUUUUAUGAAAACGAAAGCUCUAAAUACAAAUGCUAAAAUUUUUCGUUCUAAUUUAAACAAUAAGUUUAAAUUAACACCGUUUAAUCUUCAAUUAAAUGAUUUAGGUAGAGUAAAAUACUUACCUCCUGUGUCUAAAGAAUGAAAAAAUACAAUCUAUUCAUAUUAUAAAAAAAAUAUGCAAAACUUACCUAUAGAUAAUAUAAAUGCGAAUAAAGUAAUACAAAGUUAUUUUAAUUUAUAUUUUGAUAAUAAAUUUCAAGGAUCAAGAUUGAUAUCUCCUAAAACAAGAAGUUUAUUAUUAAAAAAAAUCUAUGUAAGUAAAAUGGAAACAAAACAUACAAAUUCUAAAGCUAUAGUAACUUUAUACACUAUUAAUGCAGAGAAGAAUAAUGUAUAUCAAGAAUAUUUUAAACAUUUAAAUGAUUGUGAAGAUGAAUUCUUAACUUUAUUUAAAGAUGAAUUAAAAAACAUAAUUCAUGGUGCUAACUCUUCAGGAGCCCAGGAGUUACAAGCUAAUACAAAUAAUAUUACUUUAGUAGCCUUAGGUUCUAAAAACGAAGAUCAAAAACAAAUUCUUUUUUCUAAAUAUAAAUUUUUAACAGAGUCUUUAGAAUGUUUUAAUUUAUAUUUAAGAUUAUAUUUAAGCAUCCAAUUUAAAGAAUCAUAUUCGGAUAAAUUGGAUUUAUUAAGAAAAUACGAAUUAAAUUAUUAUUUAAAUAAAUUGAAAUUUGAAAAUAUUUACUUACAUAAAUUAAGUAGUAUUUUAUCUAAAAUUUUUAAUAAAAAUAUCGAAUUUAAUAUAAUAAAUUUGAAAUCUUUGGCUUUUAACCCUGAAAUUUUUACUCAAGCUUUAACUUUAAAAUUAAGAAAACCUAAAUCUCAGGUUAUAAGAGUAAUGGAUAGUUUAUUAAAAGUAGCCAAAUUACCUCAAGUUAAUAGAAUUCAGGAAAAAGCUAUUAUGGUUAAAUCUAAAGAUUUCUCUUUAUUACAAAAUGCUUAUCCUAAUUUAAGUUUAGUUUCUAUAUUAAAGGACUCUAAAUUAAUAAAUUCAGGUUCUUAUAAUUCAUUAUUGGAAGCCAAAUCUUAUAAUACUAUAGCAGCACAAACUUCAGUUAACGACUCACAGCAUAGUAGAUACUAUAGCAAUAUUUCUAAUAUAAUAUUUAAUUCUAUUAAAUAUAAAAAUUUAGGAGGUGUAAGAUUAGAAGUUAAAGGAAGAUUAACAAGACGUAAUAGAGCAGAUAGAUCUGUAUUUAAAUUUAAAUGAAAAGGAGGAUUAAGAAAUAUAGAUUCUUCUUUUAAAAAAUUAUCUACAGUAACAUACAGAGGUUAUUAUAAACCAAAUGUAAUGUAUUCAUUAUCUGCAUCAAAACGUCGUGUAGGAUCUUUCGCAGUAAAAGGUUGAGUAAGUGGUAAAUAAGCAUAUUUCGUAGCGAUUACGUAGACUAAAUAAGUUAUGGUUGGGAGCGCGUGCUAUAAGUCGCUCUAAUAAAAAUGAAGACAUAGUCUGAACCAUUUUGUGAAAAAUGGAAAUAAAAUUUAUUAUGAUAACAUGUAGAACAGGCUAAUUUGCGCAAGAGUGUACAAAAUGAGUGCGCGGUUUGGCACCUCGAUGUCGGCUUAACUUAUCCUCAUGGAUGCAGAAACUAUGUAGGGUACGACUGUUCGUCGAUUAAAAAGUUACAUGAGCUGGGUUAAAUACGUCGUGAGACAGUAUGGUUUCUAUCUUCUAGAGGGAAUUUGAAUAAAAUAAGGAUUAACCUUUGUACGAAAGGAACAGGAAAAACUUAACCCAAAAGGUUAGGUUAUAUUAAUUGUUAACCUCUGGUUUACCUGUUGUUUAUAAGCCCAAUAUUAAUUUAUUCUAAAAAUUUAUGAUUUUUAUAAGGGAUGUUACUUACACUAAAGUAAAUAUAUAUUAUAGGCACGGCAGGAAAGCUAAGUUAGUUAAAGAUAAGUGCUGAAAGCAUAUAGGCACGAAGCUUACCUUAAGAUAUUUCUAAUUCACGUAAUAUACUAUUACGGCAUAAUAUUAAUAUUAUUGCAAUAGGCUUUGUUUGUAAUGAUCUAGAGAUCUUAAGA